GCAUUGGUGGUUCAGUGGUAGAAUUAUCUCCUUCUAUGUGGGAGACCCAGGUUCAAUUCCUGGCCAAUGCA
This 71-nucleotide transfer RNA is filed under the name Trichechus manatus latirostris (Florida manatee). Its description in RNAcentral is "tRNA-Arg (TCT) (tRNA-Arg-TCT-26-1)". It matches the Rfam family "tRNA". From Rfam's summary of the family: Transfer RNA (tRNA) molecules are approximately 80 nucleotides in length. The record is from Rfam by way of RNAcentral. Lineage: Eukaryota; Metazoa; Chordata; Mammalia; Sirenia; Trichechidae.